GGUCGGGUGAUGGAACGGCAGACAUAAGGGAUUUAAAAUCCCUUGCGGGCAACCGCGUACGGGUUCAAGUCCCGUCCCGACCACCA
Molecule: transfer RNA, 86 nt
Filed under: Planctomycetota bacterium
Lineage: Bacteria; Pseudomonadati; Planctomycetota
Also listed under: 1 other name
Description: tRNA-Leu
Rfam family: tRNA
About the family: Transfer RNA (tRNA) molecules are approximately 80 nucleotides in length. Their secondary structure includes four short double-helical elements and three loops (D, anti-codon, and T loops).
Source: RNAcentral